Molecule: long non-coding RNA, 853 nt
Organism: Pelodiscus sinensis (Chinese soft-shelled turtle)
Lineage: Eukaryota; Metazoa; Chordata; Testudines; Trionychidae
Source: RefSeq, a predicted model, not a curated record
GGUAGCCGAGGCCUGAGCAGCAUCCUUUCCUCCCCUUCAAACCUCCCCAUCCCUUUCCCAUGCUGGGACCCAUCCAGACCAGGAGUGUGUGAUCUCCAGCUGCAGCAUCCACAUGCAAGAGCAGGCAUGCAGCAGACAGACAGGCACCAGCUGGGGGAGCCAGGCCUAGGAGCAUAGCAGCUUGGCACACAUAGCUAUCUUUGAAACUACCAGAAUAUUUCAGCGACAAUUGGCUCGUCUUGUCCAGUACUCUGCCUCCAACAGUGACCAACACAACUGCUCCAAGACAAAGCCGAUAUCCAUAACACAUCUAGCAUUGGGCAGUGAGGACACCUUCCUGACACUGCAGAAGCGCCCUGAAGCAUGAGGGCUGUUUGACUUAUGCAAAAUUAUUGAUUUCGCAAUAGGCUUGUUUUUCUGGAAUCUGUUCGCACUUUUAUCGAAAAUUUACUCAUCCCCAAUUCGGGAGCAAGGUUUUCAGUAAAAAAAAAAAUAUUGUAUAAAUGUCAGAAACUCCACUAACAACAGUACUUUGGGCCUUGUUCUUACAAUGCAGAGGGAGUGUAAAAAGCGCCCCAUAGUCCCACACAAUCUUGCGGAAUAAACUACGUAAGCCCGGCUGACUUUUAAACCACCUUCAGACUUGAUGUCGGAUAGAGCCUCAUUCCCAUCCAGAUGACUGACUGGUCCCUAACACCUGCUGGUGGCAGGAGAAGAAGGCUGAGAGAGGAAAGAAUUCAUGUUACACUAUUUUCGCUGGAAAAAUAAACCCUUGUCACAGCUUGAAGCAAAAGCCUGCCUCAUGCCUUCAUGCUUCUGCGAGAUGGCUGCCGUCAUUCAAAAAUGAACAUAA